GACGAACGCUGGCGGCGUGCCUAAUACAUGCAAGUAGAACGCUGAAGAGAAGAGCUUGCUCUUCUUGGAUGAGUUGCGAACGGGUGAGUAACGCGUAGGUAACCUGCCUUGUAGCGGGGGAUAACUAUUGGAAACGAUAGCUAAUACCGCAUAACAAUGGAUGACCCAUGUCAUUUAUUUGAAAGGGGCAAAUGCUCCACUACAAGAUGGACCUGCGUUGUAUUAGCUAGUAGGUGAGGUAACGGCUCACCUAGGCGACGAUACAUAGCCGACCUGAGAGGGUGAUCGGCCACACUGGGACUGAGACACGGCCCAGACUCCUACGGGAGGCAGCAGUAGGGAAUCUUCGGCAAUGGGGGCAACCCUGACCGAGCAACGCCGCGUGAGUGAAGAAGGUUUUCGGAUCGUAAAGCUCUGUUGUAAGUCAAGAACGAGUGUGAGAGUGGAAAGUUCACACUGUGACGGUAGCUUACCAGAAAGGGACGGCUAACUACGUG
Molecule: ribosomal RNA, 497 nt
Filed under: uncultured bacterium
Lineage: Bacteria
Description: partial 16S ribosomal RNA
Rfam family: Bacterial small subunit ribosomal RNA
Source: RNAcentral